Cavia porcellus (domestic guinea pig) is the source of this 124-nucleotide non-coding RNA. The record is from Rfam. NCBI's taxonomy places the organism in Eukaryota, Metazoa, Chordata, Mammalia, Rodentia, Caviidae.
GUGUCUUUUUUUAAGGCUGAUGCAGUGCUCUCAGAAGUUAACAUGGAAGGGUAAAAUAAGUAUCUCUAACACACAGAGAAGAGAUUGUCAGAUUCUUCUGUGGAUCUUGUUUAGAUACAUAGCU